GUCCGAUCGCGGACCGCGCGGCGGUGGAGCGGGCGGUCCGGGUCACCGCCGAGCCGGCCGUGCCGGUGGCCGCGCACUGGUUCGGCGACCAGCGGCUGGACU
This 102-nucleotide transfer RNA is filed under the name Kitasatospora indigofera. RNAcentral's name for it is "tRNA-Pro". The record is from RNAcentral. Lineage: Bacteria; Bacillati; Actinomycetota; Actinomycetes; Kitasatosporales; Streptomycetaceae.